Molecule: ribosomal RNA, 365 nt
Filed under: uncultured bacterium
Lineage: Bacteria
Description: bacterial SSU rRNA
Rfam family: Bacterial small subunit ribosomal RNA
Source: RNAcentral
CUCCCGCAGGGACGCUAGUACAGGUGUGCAUGGCUGUCGUCAGCUCGUGUCGUGAGAUGUUGGGUUAAGUCCCGCAACGAGCGCAACCUUACCCUUAGUGUUUUUCCCCGAAAGGAUUACCCUCUAAGGGGACUGCCCGGACAACGGGGAGGAAGGUGGGGAUGACGUCAAGUCCGCAUGCUCCUUACGUCUAGGGCUACACACGUCCUACAAUGGGGUCGACAGUGGGAUGCAAAGCCGCGAGGUGGAGCCAAUCCCCCAAACGGCCUCUCAGUUCGGAUAGUAGUCUGCAACUCGACUACUUGAAGUCGGAAUCGCUAGUAAUGGCGGAUCAGCAUGCCGCCGUGAAUACGUUCCCGGGUCUU